GACGAACGCUGGCGGCGUGCUUAACACAUGCAAGUCGAACGAUGAACCCGGAGCUUGCUCCGGUGGAUUAGUGGCGAACGGGUGAGUAACACGUGAGUAACCUGCCCUUGACUCUGGGAUAACUGCGGGAAACUGUAGCUAAUACCGGAUACGACCCUCGGCGGCAUCGCCAGGGGGUGGAAAGAAUUUCGGUCAAGGAUGGACUCGCGGCCUAUCAGCUAGUUGGUGAGGGAACGGCUCACCAAGGCGACGACGGGUAGCCGUCCUGAGAGGGUGGCCGGCCAGACUGGGACUGGGACACUGCCCAGACUCCUACGGGCGGCAGCAGUGGGGAAUAUUGCACAAUGGGCGCAAGCCUGAUGCAGCAUCGCCGCGUGAGGGAUGACGGCCUUCGGGUUGUAAACCUCUUUUAGUAGGGAAGAAGCGAAAGUGACGGUACCUGCAGAAAAAGCACCGGCUAACUACGUGCCAGCCGCCGCCGUAA
Molecule: ribosomal RNA, 484 nt
Filed under: uncultured bacterium
Lineage: Bacteria
Description: partial 16S ribosomal RNA
Rfam family: Bacterial small subunit ribosomal RNA
Source: RNAcentral